AUUGAACGCUGGCGGCAGGCCUAACACAUGCAAGUCGAACGGUAACAGGAAGCAGCUUGCUGCUUCGCUGACGAGUGGCGGACGGGUGAGUAAUGUCUGGGAAGCUGCCUGAUGGAGGGGGAUAACUACUGGAAACGGUAGCUAAUACCGCAUAAUGUCGCAAGACCAAAGAGGGGGACCUUCGGGCCUCUUGCCAUCGGAUGUGCCCAGAUGGGAUUAGCUGGUUGGUGGGGUAACGGCUCACCAAGGCGACGAUCCCUAGCUGGUCUGAGAGGAUGACCAGCCACACUGGAACUGAGACACGGUCCAGACUCCUACGGGAGGCAGCAGUGGGGAAUAUUGCACAAUGGGCGCAAGCCUGAUGCAGCCAUGCCGCGUGUAUGAAGAAGGCCUUCGGGUUGUAAAGUACUUUCAGCGGGGAGGAGGGGAGUAAAGUUAAUACCUUUGCUCAUUGACGUUACCCGCAGAAGAAGCACCGGCUAACUCCGUG
Molecule: ribosomal RNA, 490 nt
Filed under: uncultured bacterium
Lineage: Bacteria
Description: partial 16S ribosomal RNA
Rfam family: Bacterial small subunit ribosomal RNA
Source: RNAcentral